Molecule: ribosomal RNA, 497 nt
Filed under: uncultured bacterium
Lineage: Bacteria
Description: bacterial SSU rRNA
Rfam family: Bacterial small subunit ribosomal RNA
Source: RNAcentral
CUACGUGCCAGCAGCCGCGGUAAUACGUAGGGGGCGAGCGUUAUCCGGAAUUAUUGGGCGUAAAGAGUGCGUAGGUGGCACCUUAAGCGCAGGGUUUAAGGCAAUGGCUCAACCAUUGUUCGCCUUGCGAACUGGGGUGCUUGAGUGCAGGAGGGGAAAGUGGAAUUCCUAGUGUAGCGGUGAAAUGCGUAGAUAUUAGGAGGAAUACCAGUGGCGAAGGCGACUUUCUGGACUGCAACUGACACUGAGGCACGAAAGCGUGGGGAGCAAACAGGAUUAGAUACCCUGGUAGUCCACGCCGUAAACGAUGAGUACUAGGUGUCGGGUGAAGAACUCGGUGCCGAAGUUAACACAUUAAGUACUCCGCCUGGGGAGUACGCUCGCAAGAGUAAAACUCAAAGGAAUUGACGGGGACCCGCACAAGCAGCGGAGCAUGUGGUUUAAUUCGAAGCAACGCGAAGAACCUUACCUAAACUUGACAUACCAAUGACAGCCUU